UUUACACACACACACACACACACACACACACACACACACACACACACACACACACACACACACACACAGCAUAAAGCCAGAGCUGUGUCUUAAUCUGCAUUUUCCAGCAGCCACUUUUGUGCCAUUUCACAAACAUACUGCACAGCCGAGUAAAGAAAGAAGAAAAUGUCAACGUUAAUCUGCUGACUUUCUCCUCUCUCAUUUGUUGCCUAGCACAGCUCAAGGCUGACUUUAUUUUUUGUUUAUAAAGGUGAAGUUGCCCGGGUCAUUCACCAAGCCUAGAGACUACCCAUUCCUCUAAAUGUGCUAGAAGUAAAGCGCACAGACUAACAUUUUCACUGUUGUUUUCUAUUUAAACAAGAACCUGCACACGGAUGCAGAAACUUCACUCUGGAGUAAAUUUAGCUGAAUCAAUACGGGUCAGCAGGGCCUAUAACUGAUAAGAUGGAUGAAGCAAAUUCAUUUGCAGCAGAGGCUAUAGGUUAAAAGCAAAGGGCUGUGGGGAAGGAGUUACCAAAUUUAUUGGAUGGUUUUGGAUGCCUCGAUAUUAUAUACUGAAUGGUGCAGUAGCUAAAAUAACUGCAGGUCCUCCAACAACGGAUCAAUGAUGGUUAUGAUCUUCUUUCAGAUUAUGAAGUCCUCUCUGCCCUGGCUCCAGUCCCUGUCCCCAGCAUCUCAUCUCAUCAGCCCUGCUUCCUUGUCCUGGAUCCUCACUGGUGCCAGCUUCCAGCCCAAGCUUCAGCCCCAGAUUCACAAAAGAGAAGAUUUGACAUGCCAGCUCUAUCAAUAAAUUCACAGGAGAGGCUCAGCAAGUCUACACUACACAAUGUUCAACAGCACAGAAACAAUGAAUCUCUUUCUUUGGUUAUCGAUCUUAAACUUACAACUGCUACCGACAGUAUGAACGAUUAGACUAAUUUAAGUACAAGUGGCAUAAUUACAUAAAUCAACUAUUACAUGCUUUCAAUGACUAAGUAAAAACUUUAAGGAUUUGGCUAACAUUAGAAAUUCCUAAUUUCUGCCCCGAAUACAUUGUUAUGAUAACUAAGACACAUCUGACUCACAGAAGCAUCAGUUUUAGCAGCAUCACUGGAGGCAAUAAUGAUUUCAUGCAUCAUGUUUCAGAAAGCAUAUUCAGAUGUGCCUGAUUAAACAUUCUCAAAAGAUGAUAAUUUUAAUCAUUAAUCAUAAUUUCUUAUUUAUACAUGCUCAGUUAAACUACUUCUACUUUAACCUAUUCCUACGACCUCGAUAAAUCCUCCCAGGCUUUUUUAAAAUACGGAUCUUACCUUGACCCUAGUGCUUCUGCCAGACCAGAGUGUUUAAAGUUCUAACUGUGAUCUUGAAUAUUAAAUAUAACCAUUCAUUUUGCAUUUCCUUGUGACAUUGUAAUGAAGGGUUCUGGAUGACUUGCUCAGGUUUUUCCUUUGCCACUGUGUCCAUAAUGAGUGUAGCUAAUGCACAUAAUUCAGUAGAAAUAAAUAGCUCUAAUUGAGUUUGGUUUAAAUUGCAUGAUUUAAUCAAUGGGAUCAUAUUCUUGUGGCUGUUUGGCUUGUAAUGACAUCACUUUUGGCUGUA
Molecule: long non-coding RNA, 1578 nt
Organism: Dicentrarchus labrax (European seabass)
Lineage: Eukaryota; Metazoa; Chordata; Actinopteri; Moronidae
Exons: 3
Source: RefSeq, a predicted model, not a curated record